RNAcentral lists this long non-coding RNA (1432 nucleotides) under Equus caballus (horse). Its description in RNAcentral is "lncRNA (ENSECAG00000048672.1)". Lineage: Eukaryota; Metazoa; Chordata; Mammalia; Perissodactyla; Equidae. The record is from RNAcentral.
GUCUAUUUGACCUAAUACAAUCUUUAAAAGCCUUAGAUGAUUAUGUUUUUUUUUAAAGAUUUUAUUUUUUUCCUUUUUCUCCCCAAAGCCCCCCAAGUACAUAGUUGUAUAUUCGUUGUGGGUCCUUCUAGUUGUGGCAUGUGGGACACCGCCUCAGCGUGGCUUGACGAGCAGUGCCAUGUCCGCGCCCAGGAUUCGAACCAACGAAACACUGGGCCCCCUGCAGCGGAGCGCGCGAACUUAACCACUCGGCCACGGGGCCAGUCCCAGUCCUUAAAAGGAAGAAAUCGGUUUCAGGAUGCAACUCACAGGUCCAUUCCAGAAGGUCAGGAGGUGCAGACGAGUUGAGCUGUUGACUCAGCUGAGAUUACACCCUGGAAGACCAGGCAAGACUGUGUCACUCUAUCGUCACUCUGGCAAAGCAACCAAACCUCAGAAAGACCCCUCCCUUGUUUCUUCCCUCCUUUUCUAACCUGCACAAAUGUUUACUGAUGCUUUCUGGGUGCUGGCACUGUGCUGGUCCUGAGGACAUGGAGGUGAACAAGCAGACACAGCACUCUCUCUUAGGAAGAUGGCACUCCAGCGGCUGACACAGGCAUUAAACUGACAAUUUCACACAGAACCUUGGGAUUACAAUCGUGACAUGCUCCUAACAUCGUCCUGCUUAAGUGCACGCAUCUUUUCAAGUGCAGCUAACUUACAGCCCAAGACAGAGGUCUGAUUUUUACAGAAGCUCCAAGAACUUCAUGGAGUUUUGUCCUCAAAGCAGACAGGGACGUGGGGCAGCUGCAGGAGAACGGGAGGAGGAGAGAGGCCAGACGGUGCUGGGGCGCGUGCAGAACGAGCGGGUGCCCACCCCAGGGCCCCGCCUUGUGUCUGUGACUCUGGUCUCUAAAGGCUGGCUGUGGAGUGAGACCACGUCAUUCAUUUUCAGCUGGCUUAUCUCCCUCUUGGUUUAUUUGUAGAAAGUUUCCGAAGCGUAUCUGUGAACCCUUAUUCCAUGGGAUGUCAACAAGUGUUACACACACACACACCAAAAAAAAAACAGAAAAAACAACUAUCCACAGUCAAAUAAGCUUCUUUACUGCAGAAUUCUCAGGAAUUCUAGAAUCCCAGGCACACUGCGAAUCAGCACGAGAGGAACCCUGAGUGGACACGCUCAUGUUUACUGGUGAUGACGCUCUUUUCUGCAGAACAUCUGACAGGAACAGCACUGCCUGGAAGGAAGCUCAGGAAACACAGGCUUAGCUUCCUCUCUAAAUCAGUUUAUUCUCUUGUGGAUACCAGGGAUGGCAAGGAAGAUGCUUCAUCACGUAGAACAGAGAAGAAAGUGGUUCUGGGAUUAAACUGUUGUUAUAGGGAACUCACAGAACGGCCAAUUCACGCGGACAAAAUCUCUGAGAACUGACAGUUACCGUUGUGUAACUUCAUA